Molecule: long non-coding RNA, 245 nt
Filed under: Ananas comosus (pineapple)
Lineage: Eukaryota; Viridiplantae; Streptophyta; Magnoliopsida; Poales; Bromeliaceae
Description: long non-coding RNA (ACOM_LNC027552)
Source: RNAcentral
UGCAAUAAAUUUUUGAUGCCUGAUAUAAUUUUUUUUUCUUUUUGAAAGAUAGGUAGCAUGUUACCUGUUUCGUUUAUUUCAUUUAGAAAUAAACUUAGCUGAAAAUGUGAAUCAACUAGAAUUCGAACUUGGGAUCUCAGGUACCAACCAUCAAACCUUUUGCCACUUGCGCUAGGAACGAUCGGUGCCUGAUAUGUUAAAGUUAAUAUCUAAUAGCAUAGAUAUAUAUGAUUCACAGUGUCUAA